CUUCUGGCUUUUUCUGAGAUGUUUGUUGGAGAGAAGAGACACAGAUUUUCCUAUACAGGCUGGCCUCAAACUGUAGUCCUCAAAUCUCAGCCUCCUG
This is a long non-coding RNA of Dipodomys spectabilis (banner-tailed kangaroo rat), 97 nucleotides long. RefSeq lists it as uncharacterized. The transcript has 3 exons. NCBI's taxonomy places the organism in Eukaryota, Metazoa, Chordata, Mammalia, Rodentia, Heteromyidae. The record is from RefSeq and is a predicted model, not a curated record.